GAUGAACGUUGGCGACGUGCCUAACACAUGCAAGUCGAGCGGAGAAGAAGUGAGUGUACUUUUCGGAGUGGACUUUUUUCGGAUCAUCGGCCGACGGUUGAGUACUACAUGAUGAACCUUCCCUCUACAAGGGUAUAGCUGGUGCAAACUGCGAUUUAUACCCUCUUAGACCACGAUAGCGCAUGCUUUUGGGGUUAAAGAUUUAUCGGUAGUAUAUGGUCGCAUGGCCCAUUAGCUAGUUGGUGAUUUAACAGACCACCAAGGCGACGAUGGGUAGCCGGGUUGGGAGAGGGAAAGGUCACAUUGGAAAUAAGACACGGUCCAGGCUCGUAGGGGAGGGAGCAGUGGGGAAUAUUGCACAAUGGGGGAAAACCUGAUGCAGCGACGUCGCGUGAGAGAAGAAGGCGUUCGGGUAGUAAAGCUCUGUGCUAUGGGAAGAAAAGGACGGUACCAUAGAAGGAAGCCCCGGCUAACUACGUG
RNAcentral lists this ribosomal RNA (480 nucleotides) under uncultured bacterium. RNAcentral describes it as "partial 16S ribosomal RNA". It matches the Rfam family "Bacterial small subunit ribosomal RNA", at positions 28 to 507 of the family's 1533-position model. The record is from RNAcentral.